UACGUAGGGACCAAGCGUUGUUCGGAUUUACUGGGCGUAAAGGGCGCGUAGGUGGCAAUUCAAGUCAGCUGUGAAAUCUCCGAGCUUAACUCGGAACGGUCAGCUGAUACUGUUUUGCUAGAGUGCAGAAAGGGCAACCGGAAUUCUUGGUGUAGCGGUGAAAUGCGUAGAUAUCAAGAGGAACACCUGAGGCGAAGGCGGGUUGCUAGGCUGACACUGACGCUGAGGCGCGAAAGCUAGGGUAGCAAACGGG
This 253-nucleotide ribosomal RNA is filed under the name uncultured bacterium. Its description in RNAcentral is "partial 16S ribosomal RNA". It matches the Rfam family "Bacterial small subunit ribosomal RNA", at positions 524 to 776 of the family's 1533-position model. The record is from RNAcentral.